AACGAACGCUGGCGGCGUGGAUAAGACAUGCAAGUCGAACGGGAACUUCAGCUGUAGCAAUACAGUUGAAGUUUUAGUGGCGAACGGGUGCGUAACACGUGGGCAAUCUGCCGAGAAGUGGGGGAUAGCUCGCCGAAAGGCGAAUUAAUACCGCAUAUGAUCAGCUAAGACAUCUUAGCGACAUCAAAGCCGGGGCAACCUGGCGCUUUUUGAGGAGCCCGCGGCCUAUCAGCUAGUUGGUGAGGUAACGGCUCACCAAGGCUAUGACGGGUAGCUGGUCUGAGAGGACGACCAGUCACACUGGAACUGAGACACGGUCCAGACACCUACGGGUGGCAGCAGUCGAGAAUUUUUCUCAAUGGGGCAACCCUGAAGGAGCGACGCCGCGUGGAGGAUGAAGGCUUUCGGGUUGUAAACUCCUGUCAUUUGAGAACAAGGUGCA
Molecule: ribosomal RNA, 442 nt
Filed under: uncultured bacterium
Lineage: Bacteria
Description: bacterial SSU rRNA
Rfam family: Bacterial small subunit ribosomal RNA
Source: RNAcentral